UCCUACGGGACGCAGCAGUGAGGAAUAUUGGUCAAUGGCCGGAAGGCUGAACCAGCCAAGCCGCGUGAAGGACGAAGGUGCCAAGCAUUGUAAACUUCUUUUGUCAAGGGACAAAAUCAGGCUCGAGAGCCUGACCGAGGGUACUUGAAGAAAAAGCAUCGGCUAACUCCGUGCCAGCAGCCGCGGUAAUACGGAGGAUGCGAGCGUUAUCCGGAUUUACUGGGUGUAAAGGGAGCGUAGACGGAGGAGCAAGUCUGAUGUGAAAAUCCGGGGCCCAACCCCGGAACUGCAUUGGAAACUGUUUA
This 305-nucleotide ribosomal RNA is filed under the name uncultured bacterium. RNAcentral describes it as "bacterial SSU rRNA". It matches the Rfam family "Bacterial small subunit ribosomal RNA", at positions 337 to 639 of the family's 1533-position model. The record is from RNAcentral.